This 857-nucleotide ribosomal RNA is filed under the name uncultured bacterium. RNAcentral's name for it is "bacterial SSU rRNA". It matches the Rfam family "Bacterial small subunit ribosomal RNA", at positions 65 to 890 of the family's 1533-position model. The record is from RNAcentral.
AACUCUGGUAUUGAUUGGUGCUUACAUCAUGAUUUACAUUUGCGUGAGUGGCGAACUGGUGAGUAACACGUGGGAAACCUGCCCAGAAGCGGGGGAUAACACCUGGAAACAGAUGCUAAUACCGCAUAACAACUUGGACCGCAUGGUCCGAGCUUGAAAGAUGGCUUCGGCUAUCACUUUUGGAUGGUCCCGCGGCGUAUUAGCUAGAUGGUGGGGUAACGGCUCACCAUGGCAAUGAUACGUAGCCGACCUGAGAGGGUAAUCGGCCACAUUGGGACUGAGACACGGCCCAAACUCCUACGGGAGGCAGCAGUAGGGAAUCUUCCACAAUGGACGAAAGUCUGAUGGAGCAACGCCGCGUGAGUGAAGAAGGGUUUCGGCUCGUAAAACUCUGUUGUUAAAGAAGAACAUAUCUGAGAGUAACUGUUCAGGUAUUGACGGUAUUUAACCAGAAAGCCACGGCUAACUACGUGCCAGCAGCCGCGGUAAUACGUAGGUGGCAAGCGUUGUCCGGAUUUAUUGGGCGUAAAGCGAGCGCAGGCGGUUUUUUAAGUCUGAUGUGAAAGCCUUCGGCUCAACCGAAGAAGUGCAUCGGAAACUGGGAAACUUGAGUGCAGAAGAGGACAGUGGAACUCCAUGUGUAGCGGUGAAAUGCGUAGAUAUAUGGAAGAACACCAGUGGCGAAGGCGGCUGUCUGGUCUGUAACUGACGCUGAGGCUCGAAAGUAUGGGUAGCAAACAGGAUUAGAUACCCUGGUAGUCCAUACCGUAAACGAUGAAUGCUAAGUGUUGGAGGGUUUCCGCCCUUCAGUGCUGCAGCUAACGCAUUAAGCAUUCCGCCUGGGGAGUACGGCCGCA